CGUGCUUAACACAUGCAAGUCGAACGGAAAGGCCCUGCUUUUGUGGGGUGCUCGAGUGGCGAACGGGUGAGUAACACGUGAGUAACCUGCCCUUGACUUUGGGAUAACUUCAGGAAACUGGGGCUAAUACCGGAUAGGAGCUCCUGCUGCAUGGUGGGGGUUGGAAAGUUUCGGCGGUUGGGGAUGGACUCGCGGCUUAUCAGCUUGUUGGUGGGGUAGUGGCUUACCAAGGCUUUGACGGGUAGCCGGCCUGAGAGGGUGACCGGCCACAUUGGGACUGAGAUACGGCCCAGACUCCUACGGGAGGCAGCAGUGGGGAAUAUUGCACAAUGGGCGGAAGCCUGAUGCAGCAACGCCGCGUGCGGGAUGACGGCCUUCGGGUUGUAAACCGCUUUCGCCUGUGACGAAGCGUGAGUGACGGUAAUGGGUAAAGAAGCACCGGCUAACUACGUGCCAGCAGCCGCGGUGAUACGUAGGGUGCGAGCGUUGUCCGGAUUUAUUGGGCGUAAAGGGCUCGUAGGUGGUUGAUCGCGUCGGAAGUGUAAUCUUGGGGCUUAACCCUGAGCGUGCUUUCGAUACGGGUUGACUUGAGGAAGGUAGGGGAGAAUGGAAUUCCUGGUGGAGCGGUGGAAUGCGCAGAUAUCAGGAGGAACACCAGUGGCGAAGGCGGUUCUCUGGGCCUUUCCUGACGCUGAGGAGCGAAAGCGUGGGGAGCGAACAGGCUUAGAUACCCUGGUAGUCCACGCUGUAAACGGUGGGUACUAGGUGUGGGGUCCAUUCCACGGGUUCCGUGCCGUAGCUAACGCUUUAAGUACCCCGCCUGGGGAGUACGGCCGCAAGGCUAAAACUCAAAGGAAUUGACGGGGCCCCGCACAAGCGGCGGAGCAUGCGGAUUAAUUCGAUGCAACGCGUAGAACCUUACCUGGGUUUGACAUGGAUCGGGAGUGCUCAGAGAUGGGUGUGCCUCUUUUGGGGUCGGUUCACAGGUGGUGCAUGGCUGUCGUCAGCUCGUGUCGUGAGAUGUUGGGUUAAGUCCCGCAACGAGCGCAACCCUUGUUCACUGUUGCCAGCACGUUAUGGUGGGGACUCAGUGGAGACCGCCGGGGUCAACUCGGAGGAAGGUGGGGAUGACGUCAAGUCAUCAUGCCCCUUAUGUCCAGGGCUUCACGCAUGCUACAAUGGCUGGUACAGAGAGUGGCGAGCCUGUGAGGGUGAGCGAAUCUCGGAAAGCCGGUCUCAGUUCGGAUUGGGGUCUGCAACUCGACCUCAUGAAGUCGGAGUCGCUAGUAAUCGCAGAUCAGCAACGCUGCGGUGAAUACGUUCCCGGGGCUUGUACACACCGCCCGUCAAGUCAUGAAAGUUGGUAACACCCGAAGCCGGUGGCCUAACCGUUGUGGGGGAGCCGUCGAAGGUGGGACUGGUGAUUAGGACUAAGUAGU
RNAcentral lists this ribosomal RNA (1439 nucleotides) under uncultured organism. RNAcentral's name for it is "partial small subunit ribosomal RNA". It matches the Rfam family "Bacterial small subunit ribosomal RNA". The record is from RNAcentral.